UUCAAACUCUUGGCCUCACGUGAUCUGCCCACUCAGCCUCCCCAAGUGCAGGCUUGACCCACCUCGCCUGGCCUGCCCAGCUAAUUUUUUUUUUAAGAUGUGAACUUUUUCAUUCUUCAAAAAGAGAAUGUAUUUUUACAUAAAUCUAUAACAGAAUUCAAAUGUAGAAAAAAUAAACUAUAUUCAGGGAUAGAGUGCUCAGCACAGCACACCCCCUCCCCGGAUGAGACUGCAGGAGCCUCGCCACCCCCAGGACACCCAACAUCAGGGCAGCCACAGGCUGGCACAUAGAGCUCCCUGUGUCUGUCACAACAGGCUGCAAAUGCAAGGGGCCCAGACCCGAAGCAUCAAAGACAAAAACCAACCCAUUUCACUGUGGCAACUCACUUCUUGGCCUAGGUCACUCAUUUGUACACCUACUCAGAAAGGGAGGCACAGGGAAACUGAGGGACAUGCAUCUCCAGAUGCCUCGGAUAAUCCCCUACUCACUUCUGCCACUAGAGGACCCCCAGGAGAGCCCACCUGACAAACCCCAACUUCUUCCCUGGGCCAGUGCAACCAAAAACCUGCAGGAUUCACCCAGGACUCCAGGCCCUGACAAGAGGCAGAGCUGGCUGCAGCUCGACUAAUUAAAAAAUUUUUUUUGUUGAGACAGGUUCUCUCGUGUUAUCCUGGCUGGUCUUGAACUCCUAGCCUCAAACUUUCCUGCCACCUUCGCCUUCCAAAGCUCUGGCAUGAGUGCCCAGCCUCCCAACUUAUAUAUAAAUACAGGCCGGGCGCAGUGGGGUACAAUUCUUAUCCUGAAAUACCUUCCAUAUCCCUUCCAUAUCCCACUCCCUAACCACGUCAUUUCUGGGUUUCACUGCCCAUGAGAGAGUGCACAAUGGUAGAAACUAUCUUUACAGAGGGCCUGCCAUGAGGCACAGACUGUGCUGGGGUCAUACAUUCAUUCUGCCUUUUUUAUGCUCCUAAGGAAGUAUUAUUUGAUUUCAAUGGAACAGAUGAAAAAAUGGAGGCACAGAGAGGAUGAGCAGCUGGCCUAAGGUUAGCUGACUGUUAAGGGGUAGGCUGGGAUCCACUGUGAAGUCCACUGUGGGACUUCAAACCCCUUCUCUUGGCCGUCAUGCAGCAAUGGUACCCAUGAAUAGACCGGAAGCGCAAGGAGUGCACACCCUUGCUACUCAAAGGCAGGAGGGUCUAGGGGCCUGCAACACUGGCAUCACCUGGAAGUUUGUCAGAAAUGCAGGAUCUUGGGUUCGUUCCAUCCAGCCCUACUGAAUCAGAAUCUACAAUUUUUUUGUGUGUGUGUGUGAAAGGGUCUCACUGUGUUGCCCAGGCUAGAGUAUAGGGGCACAAACACAGCUUACUAUAGUCCCCACCUCCUGAGUUCAAGGGAUCCUCCUGCCUAAGCCUCCCAAGUAGCUGGCACAGGCCACCACGCCCAACUAAUUUUUAAUUUUUUUGUAGAGAUAGGGAUCUCACCAUGUUGCCCAGGCUGGUCUCAAAUUUCCUGGGCUCAAGCAAUUAUCCUGCCUUGGCCUCCCAAAGUGCUGGGAUUACAGGUGUGAGCCAUCGUGCCACGUCAGAAUCUACACUUUACAGGAAUCAUGUACACAUUAGGAGCUGAGAAGCACUAGACUAGAGAAUAAUCCAAGCAAAGUGGCAUAUUGCCUUUGUAGCCCUUAUGCAACAGUGUCUCAUAAGCCAGGUUUCCAAUGACCCGAAAACAACUUCUUAUAACCAAAUAUACCAGAUUGGCCAACUGUUCCAUUCAUCUAUCCACCCUAGUUUUGUCAUCUAUUUCCACUCCAAGGGAAAGACUGUGAGAAGCUACCAUCAACUCCAAAGACGAGGUGCUGUAUGCUCCAAAUCAUCUCCCAUUUGAGGUCUACUCUGAUCCCCAGAUAAUUUUCUGGAACACACUUUUCACAAAAGAAUUCCCUAUGUUAGCCUGCAUACCAAAGGAGUCAGAAUGGUUUGGUAGAAAAGAUUAGUGGGUGAGGAAAAGCAGGGUUCCCCUUCAGCUUUAAGGCCACAUGUGACUUUGGGAAAUGCCCUACCCUCACUUCCUAAUCCCCAUGUAAAAUAUGAAUGGGGUGGACUAGACUAGGAAUCAUUCCAUAUGAGGCCUGGCAGGAAACACAAAGGAAGUUCAGUGGCCUAGGUGAAACAGUAGGGAGUAGCGGAGACUGUGGCAAACUAGAGGGCGAGCAGGUAGGGAGGGUGCAAUGCCCUGACUACACAAAGGUAUCCCCACUCAGAAAUAGGCUAGAGUUAUCAUGGGAAAUACGUUGACAUAUAUUCUAAUUUUUUGAGUUGGGAAUCUGAUUUUCCAAGAAAUGAGUGAUGUUUAAGUAUUGGCAACUAUUAAUAGUUAAAACUUCAGAACAAACAAACACAACACUGUGUGAGCCAAAUAAAUAUCAGGUGCCGGCCAGAUCUGUCCGUGGGCCGUCAGUUUGACUUGCCUGGCCCAGAUGCCACCCUAAUGUUAGGUAUUAAUUUGCAUGUGCGGCUGAGAAUGCUGCAAAGCGGCUCCUGUAAGGAUGGGGGUUGAGGGGUAAGAUCUGUGCCUUUCCGGGGCCCGUCGCCCGUCCCCCACCGCGGCCCGGGCCCCUUUCGGUGCCCCCUCCCCAGGCCUCUCCGGGAAAGGGCCCAGACGGUGGUGCCGGGUCGCACGGCGUCGCUUGCUUCACACCCUCCCUACCUGCUCGCCUGCUCUCCCAGCACGGCCGGCAGCGCCGCAGCAGCGAUGACUCAGCCUCUGGCGGCGGAGCUGGAGGGAGGCGGAGGGGGCGAGGGGGAGGACGACUGGCAGGGCGGGGUAAAAGGAGGCGGGUGGAAUGGAGGGAGGAGGGGAGAAAGAAAGAGGAAAAGGAGAGAGAAGUGGGAUGGGGGAGGAGAAAGAGGAAAGGGGGAGAGGAGACGGGGGAGAGGCGGAGGUGGGAGGGGGCAGUUCGAAGCCCCAGCUCCCGCCUCCUCCCGCGGCCGGCUGAGGUUGGGCUGGGCUGGGGGAGGACAGUGGGGGAACAGCGGAGAGGGUAGGGCAGGGGCGGAGAAAGGAGGGUGGCGUGCUGCGCCCCUUCCCCUCCCCCACUUCGAGAGUCCCGUGGGUACACGUGGUUCAUUGCCACACCCACGGACCCACCCCUGCCUCUGUGGGAUGGGAGGGGCCGGGGAGGGUGCCCGGGAAUGCGGCUUCGGACUCUGAACCUUUAGUGAGCGCCUUCCAGCGGAGGCCUGGGGGACUGGGCAGUCAAAAAGGGACAGAGGGGCCGGGCGCGGUGGCUCACGCCUGCAAUCCCAGCACUUUGGGAGGCCGAGGCGGCCGGAUCACCUGAGGUCAGGAGUUCAAGACCAGCCUGGCCAACAUGGCGAAACCCCGUCUCUACUAAAAAUACAAAAAUUAGCUGGGCGUGGUGGCGCGCGCCUGAAGUCCCAGCUACUUGGGAGGCUGAGGCAGGAGAAUCACUUGAACCUGGGAGGCGGAGGCUACAGUGAGGCAAGAUCGUGCCACUGCAUUCCAGCCUGGGCAACCCUGUCUCAAAAAAAAAAAGGGGGACAGAGAGAGGUGAGGGCUUGCAGGGGAGAAAGCAAAUCCACAAGGCGUAUCCGCAAGUGGAAAUUUAAAGGGAGAAAUGAGCCUACUCGAUGCAUUUUUGCUAGUCUACACAAGUAGCUAUAACACAAGGUUGAAUUUGGAAGUCACACCAAGGAAGUUUCCUUAGCAAUGUUUUGUAAUAUAAAUGAUGAAUGAAUAAAAUGUACUAUGGGAGUACAUCUGUGUGUAUAGAAGAGGACAAAUGGAAUUUUUUUAAAUGUCUUUUUGUAUGUCUGUUACAUAUGUGUGUUUGGGUGAAUAUAUAGGAGUGUAUGUGUCAUUGAAUAAUGUGUAUAUAUGUAUGCCUUAUGUAUGUAAGCACAUUAAUAGCUGUAUAUGAGGUCGUGUGCCAAGAAUACAUUUCUGUGUAUAUGGACAGGUGUGUAUCUUUAUAUGCCUAGGUGUUAACUGUAUAAGACCUAUGGGCUUUCCUGAGUUUGUUUUAAAUAUGCAUAUUUAUGUGAAUUUAUGAGUUUGUGAAUGUGACAGCAUAUCCUUGGGGGGUAUGUGUGGGGGUUUUUUGUGUGUGCCAGUAUUGUAUAAAUGUGUAUGUGUAUACGGGACUCCUGUCUGAGAUCGUGUUAUGCUUGGAUAUUUGUGUGUGUGCAUGUGUAUGGUAAUACAUUUGUGAUCAGUCUGUGACCAGGGCUACAGGGCAUCUUGAGGUUGCAUGUGUGUGUCUGUGUGUAUAAUUGAGAAUGUAUGUCUGUUUUUCAGAGUCUUUAUGGAUAUGAUUGUGUCUAGCAUCUCUGUAGCCACCCUGUCGAUCCAUUUGUGAUAAGGGCUAUGUGAUUCUUAAGGGUUGGGCUGGUCAAGGCGGCUCCUUGGAGGAAGAGGUUCUUGUGAGGUGGGGACGGUAGACACAGGAAGAAGUUGCAUGUGUGCUGGCCCACUGAAUAGACCACCCAGAGCAGCCGGAGGCCAGGCAAGCAAAGUAGGCUGAAACAAGACCAGGGAAAGCGCUGAAUGCCAGAAUGGGUAAUCACGGCCUCUUCUGGCAUCUUCCGCCCUCUCAAGCGUUGGAUCAGUUUCUCUCAUGGCCCUUCUCUGGGUCUACCUGGUCAGUGCUCUUCUGCAGAGUGCACAUCCUUGGUAAUGAACAUGGCAACAAUGGUGGAGCAUUACUAUGAGCCUGCCUGCAGAAAGCACUUAACAGGCAAUAGGUCAGCUCUGUGAGGCAGAAAUUUGGUAUCCCCAGUUUUACAGAGGGGGAGCAGGAGAUUAAGCCCUGUUGGUGAUGCCCCUGUUGGAUUCUGAGGCCCCAUGCCCUCUCAACCACUAUUGACGUUUUGGGCCAGAUAAUUCAGCGUUGCGGGUGGCUGUCCUGUGCAUUGUAGCAUAAUUAGCAGCAUCCCUCGUGUUUACCCAGUAGAUGCCAAUAGCACCUCCCUCUCCAGAUAUGCAAACCAAAAUGUCUCUAAACAUUUCCAGAAGUCCACUGGGGACAAAAUCGUCUGAGAUUGAGAGCCACAGCACUACACUGUCCUGCCUCCCCUCAUGUAAGUGUUUUCUGAGGGGCUGCAACAACUCCACCUUGUCCAGUGUCUUCAGCUGUCCCUCUUCUUUCACGGUGAUCUUCAUGACCGUGCAGGUAGCCCCUUGUCUUUGCCACAGUCAACAGAAGGCUU
Molecule: long non-coding RNA, 5229 nt
Filed under: Homo sapiens (human)
Lineage: Eukaryota; Metazoa; Chordata; Mammalia; Primates; Hominidae
Description: HSALNT0096512
Source: RNAcentral